This 1985-nucleotide long non-coding RNA is filed under the name Nicotiana benthamiana. RNAcentral's name for it is "long non-coding RNA (NBEN_LNC041224)". Lineage: Eukaryota; Viridiplantae; Streptophyta; Magnoliopsida; Solanales; Solanaceae. The record is from RNAcentral.
GGGCCAAGACAUAAACUAAAUGUCUCUGAAAUCAAUAGGCAUAAUUCCAACUCUGAGCCCAAAUGGCUUUCGGUAUGCUAAGCACAAAAACCAAGCCCGAUAUGAGCUUGAGAGCCCAAGUGUGUCCAGGCCCAAAUACAGAAGAUCAGGCUUCGAAAAUCAAGUACAAACCAGUAGCAAAUAUAUUAUGGCAAUUCUUUAUAUUACCACCCAGAUUAUACACUUAGGAUUAACUAUAACAACUUAGCAGUACACCAUGGGUCUAAGGCUACUGAAAUGUCUCUCCGCCUACGCAAAUGCAAAUAACAUGACUUACAGAUGAUACAAUUGCAUCACUUAUUAUCUAUUAGCCUUAGCUAGGAUGAAAUCAAUGCAUUUAAGAGUAUGAAAGGCCAAAAACGACAAGCAUGCUUAGAUAUCCAUUACAACACUUAUUAACAAUCCUUAAGCAAACACUAACUUAAGAAUCUACCUAGUUUUACAAUAGUUCACGGAAUUGAAAGUAUAAACAUCAUGAAGAACUAAAAAUUAAACAAAAAAUUUUGUGUUCAUGCUUCAGCUCUUAUUUCAUCUUCAAAUGGAGAGUUACAUCUACAGAAUUGAGAAUAAGUACCAGGAGAUUUGAAGUCAAAAACAGAAAUGAAGUAUCAGCAAGCAGUAUCAAGGAUCAACAAUAGUGUUAGCCCAGAAAUAACAAAAUAAAAUCAAUUUUGAAGCAGGUUCGAACCAACAAGACUCUCAAGCAAUGUUCAACAAUCUAAACAAACCCAAAAUUGAACUAAAACCCUUGCAAACCAACAAAAAUCAACUCAUUUUAACCUUUAACUGUUCAAGAAUUAUUUCGGAAUGAAGAUCUCAGAUUUUUUUAGGAAUUCUUCUAAUGGAACAGUGAAUAUUUUUUGUAUUAUUCAGCCGUUUGUAUUUGCUCUAUUUUUUUUAGAUCUGCCCCUUCUCAAAAUCUACCUUGCAAUGCAAGAAUGGCUUGCCUUUAUAGGCAAGCAAUUUAGGGCAACCCUGCAGAUUUAGUUUUACCCCUUAGAUCCUUUUUUGUUCUUGUUUUAGCUUAAGAAUCCCUAAAGUUUUGACUUUUUACCCAAGUUAUACUAUCAAAAGUCUGAAAUUCACAAAGAACCCCCUCCCGACUAGAAGCUUCCUAUUUAUGUUACACCUAAGAUUCCUUUAACCAAAUACCUAAACCACCCUCCAAUACCCAUGUUAUGACUGCUGAAAACAUGACCCAAAACAUGGGUCAAAAUUGACCCAAAUACAAUCAGAGGGUCUGAGUCUAUCAUUCUGGGACAAACCUUUUCUUUUAAGCCCAAAUAGACUCGAGGUUUCACAGAAGAAAUCAAAGAGAAGAGAAGGAAUGAGACUAAACAGAAACCACAUGCAUUUUAACCUAAAAGCUCCAAAAUCCCAAAUAGAAAAGGCAUGCCAAUUUAAUCUAAUACAAGCUCAGAACACUACUUAACUAAAAAUGAAAAACAUGCGGAAGAUUUGAAGUACCGGGGAAACUGCAAAGAAACAGAAAAGAAAGUAAAUCGAAACAUGCACAAAGAAAUAUAAGAAGAAGAUAAAGUGAACCACAUGAAGAUUAGAACUCUAAAUUUAGAGAUGAAAUACCUAAGAAAAACAGCCCAGACCGUAAGAAAACAGGAGAACUCCGAAUCUUCAGAACUUCGGCUCAAUCGGAGAUUAGUCAUGUGUUUUUUAGCAAAAACGCACGAAUAAGGUCAGAAUAAACCUGAAAGAUUCCCAGUAGCCUUGAAUUGAAGAAUUUGGGGUUUUAAAGUUAAAUUGUGAUCUAAGAUUCGAGAAGUUUGGGUAGAAUUCGAGGAAAACUAGUCCAAGAUUUGGAAAGAGGGGGUAAAGGAGGCUCUAUGGUGUUGAUUUGGUGGUGAACAGAGCCGGCGUCACCACCCCAAGGCAGUGGGAAAAAGGGGCAGCGUCUCUAGGGUUAAAGCUGUGAGAGACGGAGAGGUAGG